This 82-nucleotide transfer RNA is filed under the name Cordylochernes scorpioides. RNAcentral describes it as "tRNA-Ser". It matches the Rfam family "tRNA". Rfam says of the family: Transfer RNA (tRNA) molecules are approximately 80 nucleotides in length. Their secondary structure includes four short double-helical elements and three loops (D, anti-codon, and T loops). The record is from RNAcentral. Lineage: Eukaryota; Metazoa; Arthropoda; Arachnida; Pseudoscorpiones; Chernetidae.
GCAGUCGUGGCCGAGUGGGUAAGGCGAUAGACUAGAAAUCUAUUGGGAUCUUCCCGCACAGGUUCGAAUCUUGUCGACUGCG